GCUGGGAGCUGUAGACCGGAGCUGUUGCUAUUCGGCCAUCUUGGCUCCUCUCCUGAUGGAGAGAGGGGAACCCGAGUCAAGGAAUGCAAAUGGCCUCUGGAAGCUGGAAAAAGCAAGAAAUGGAUUCUCCUUUAGAGCCUGUGGAAUAAAAUGCAGUCAUGCUGACACCUUGAUUUUACCUCAGUGAGACCAAUACUGGAGUAUGACCUUCGGAGCUGAAUAAAAUUAUACGUACACAUCUUAAUUUCUUGGGAUUUGAUUACUUCUUCUGCUUUGAAAUUAGACCAAGUUUAGCCUGCCUUUGCUAUUUUGGCGUAUCUCCAAUUCUUCAUGAUUUUCUCAUAGUGUUGCCUCCAUAUGAUGCAAAAUAUCCAACCUAGCCCUGACAUGAAAACUUAAUUGAAAGUAUCCAACAGUGGAAAAUUGUUGAACAUCUACAUACGAAGAUGAAGGGAAAACUUGAAAGCAGUCAGAGGAAAAAAAAGGACACAUUACCUUCAAAUGGACAAUAAGAUGGAUGGCUAAUUAAAAUAUUAUUGCAGUAUAAUUGAUGUUUGCUACAUUGUACAUAUUUAAAGUGUACAAUGUGAUCAUUUUCCACGUAUGUAUAUACAUGUAAAAGCAUCACCGGAAUAAAGAUUACAAACAUUUCUGUUACUCCUCAGAGUUCCUUAUGCCACUGUGUAAUCCAACCAUCCUCUACCCCAUCCCCAGAAAACUGAUUUGCUUUCUGUUACUGUAAUUAGUUUGGAUAUCCUAUAAUUUUUCAUAUGGAUGGAAAUGCAGUAUGUAUUUUGCCUGGCUUCUUUUACUCAGCAUAGCAAUUUUGAGAUUUAUUCAUUUUGUUGCAUGUAUCAAUAGUUCAUUCCUUUUUAUUAAGUAAUGUUUCCUUGCAUGAUUACACCACAGUUUAUCUAUUCCUCUGUUGAUGGACAUUUGGACUAUUUCAACUUUUGCCUAUGAACAUUUGUGUAAAAUGAACAUUUGUGUGAAAA
This is a long non-coding RNA of Homo sapiens (human), 995 nucleotides long. Ensembl annotates it as long intergenic non-protein coding RNA 1748. The record is from Ensembl. Lineage: Eukaryota; Metazoa; Chordata; Mammalia; Primates; Hominidae.